GACGAACGCUGGCGGCGUGCUUAACACAUGCAAGUCGAACGGAAAGGCCCUGCUUUUGGGGGGUUCUCGAGGGGCGAAGGGGUGUGUAACACGGGAGUAACCCCCCCCUGACUGUGGGAUAACUUCAGGAAACGGGGGCUUAUACCGGAGAAGAGCUCCUGCUGCAUGUGGGUGGAUGGAAAUUUUCGGCGUUUGGGAAUGGACUCGCGGCUUAUCAGCUUGUUGGGGGGGUAGGGGCUUACAAAGGCUUUGACGGGUAGCCGGCCUGGGAGGGGGACCGGCAACAUGGGGACUAGGAUAGGGCCCAGACCCUAACGGGAGGAAGCAGUGGGGAUAUUUGCCCAAUGGGGGGAAGCCUGUUGAGGCACGCCGGGGUGCGGGAUACGGGCUUUGGGGUGGUAACCCGUUUUCGCAUGUGCCGAACCGUGAGUGACGGUACCGGGUAAAGAAGCACCGGCUAACUACGUG
RNAcentral lists this ribosomal RNA (468 nucleotides) under uncultured bacterium. RNAcentral's name for it is "partial 16S ribosomal RNA". It matches the Rfam family "Bacterial small subunit ribosomal RNA", at positions 28 to 507 of the family's 1533-position model. The record is from RNAcentral.